GAUGAACGCUGGCGGCGUGCCUAAUACAUGCAAGUAGAACGCUGAAGGAAGGAGCUUGCUCUUUCCGGAUGAGUUGCGAACGGGUGAGUAACGCGUAGGUAACCUGCCUGGUAGCGGGGGAUAACUAUUGGAAACGAUAGCUAAUACCGCAUAACAGUAGAUGUUGCAUGAUAUCUACUUAAAAGGUGCAAUUGCACCACUACCAGAUGGACCUGCGUUGUAUUAGCUAGUUGGUGAGGUAACGGCUCACCAAGGCGACGAUACAUAGCCGACCUGAGAGGGUGAUCGGCCACACUGGGACUGAGACACGGCCCAGACUCCUACGGGAGGCAGCAGUAGGGAAUCUUCGGCAAUAGACGGAAGUCUGUCCGAGCAACGCCGCGUGAGUGAAGAAGGUUGUCGGAUCGUAAAGCUCUGUUGUAAGAGAAGAACGAGUGUGAGAGUGGAAAGUUCACACUGUGACGGUAUCUUACCAGAAAGGGACGGCUAACUACGUG
RNAcentral lists this ribosomal RNA (497 nucleotides) under uncultured bacterium. RNAcentral describes it as "partial 16S ribosomal RNA". It matches the Rfam family "Bacterial small subunit ribosomal RNA", at positions 28 to 507 of the family's 1533-position model. The record is from RNAcentral.